UCUGCAUUAAGGUUAAAUCAAGUCAGUUUCAAAAACAAAGAUUGAAAUUCACAAAAAUAUAAAAUGCUGUAUUGCAAAACACAAAUACGAUAUAAAGAAUUUCAUCGAAUUCAGUUUGUACAUCGUGGUAAAAGCUUUCGUCGUUACCAUCGUUUGCAACACACGCAAUCGUUCUUGUCGCUGAAAAUAAUCGCCUUUAAUCUGAAUUACUUCGUUUAGUUAACCAACAAUCUACUUUUUCACGACCAAAAAACCAUCGUCAUCAUCGCUUAUCGCCUUCAUUUGUUUACUGCGUCUUCGUCUAAGAGGACCUACCUACUUCGAAACAAUAACAAUACGUUUAUGCGCUCCGUAUCUACACCAAACAAAAUUUAGAAUCAAUUUACAUUAUUUGUAUUUUUAAUCAAUAAACACGUUAAUCAUUA
Photinus pyralis (common eastern firefly) is the source of this 425-nucleotide long non-coding RNA. RefSeq lists it as uncharacterized. The record is from RefSeq and is a predicted model, not a curated record. Lineage: Eukaryota; Metazoa; Arthropoda; Insecta; Coleoptera; Lampyridae. The transcript has 2 exons.